GACGAACGCUGGCGGCGUGCCUAAUACAUGCAAGUUGAGCGCUGAAGGUUGGUACUUGUACCAACUGGAUGAGCAGCGAACGGGUGAGUAACGCGUGGGGAAUCUGCCUUUGAGCGGGGGACAACAUUUGGAAACGAAUGCUAAUACCGGAUAGGAGCUCCUGCUGCAUGGUGGGGGUUGGAAAGUUUCGGCGGUUGGGGAUGGACUCGCGGCUUAUCAGCUUGUUGGUGGGGUAGUGGCUUACCAAGGCUUUGACGGGUAGCCGGCCUGAGAGGGUGACCGGCCACAUUGGGACUGAGAUACGGCCCAGACUCCUACGGGAGGCAGCAGUGGGGAAUAUUGCACAAUGGGCGGAAGCCUGAUGCAGCAACGCCGCGUGCGGGAUGACGGCCCUCGGGUUGUAAACCGCUUUCGCCUGUGACGAAGCGUGAGUGACGGUAAUGGGUAAAGAAGCACCGGCUAACUACGUG
RNAcentral lists this ribosomal RNA (470 nucleotides) under uncultured bacterium. RNAcentral describes it as "partial 16S ribosomal RNA". It matches the Rfam family "Bacterial small subunit ribosomal RNA", at positions 28 to 507 of the family's 1533-position model. The record is from RNAcentral.